GAAAAUUAGAAAGAAGAGCACCAUGAUCAAAAUCAACAUUCUGACAGCCAAAACUAUGGAAAGUAUAAAAAGAUACGUCCUUGACCUAUCUGAGGUCUUUCACAUCACUAGGCCGCAUGUAACAAAAAUGGCCAGUGCGCAAUAGGCCGAGAAAAAGGGAAAUAGAUAGAAAAGGCAACUACAGAAACAGACAGCUGACCAGAACAUAAAUGUAUCUCCAAGAACUAACCUACAGAUAACCAACUACACUACCUCUGCAUUCAUCUGAAAAACCUAUGCGCUUCGCAUUUCAACAUCAGUUUUUUUGCCAUGUUAGGAAGCUCUCACCAAUUCCUUUGACCAGCAGAUUACUGAGGCUGCUGCGGCAUUUGUUGCUGUUGAUGUGGAGGUUGUGCAUAAUUCCCAUACCCGGCAUAGCCUGCAUAGUACAUAUUUGGGUCCUGAGUAGGUUGGGCAUAACCAUAGGCGUCAUAUCCUGGUGUAUACCCAUAAUAACCCCCACUCCACUGGUUCGGAUCACCCUGAGACUGCUGCUUGUUUGAAGGGCUACGACCCCAUGAAAGG
RNAcentral lists this unclassified non-coding RNA (564 nucleotides) under Hevea brasiliensis (rubber tree). Lineage: Eukaryota; Viridiplantae; Streptophyta; Magnoliopsida; Malpighiales; Euphorbiaceae. The record is from RNAcentral.